AAUAGAUACCCAGGUAGUCCACGCCGUAAACGAUGAGUGCUAGGUGUCGGGGGGUCCUACCCUCGGUGCCGAAGGUAACCCAUUAAGCACUCCGCCUGGGGAGUACGGCCGCAAGGCUGAAACUCAAAGGAAUUGACGGGGGCCCGCACAAGCGGUGGAGCAUGUGGUUUAAUUCGAAGCAACGCGAAGAACCUUACCAGGGCUUGACAUCCCGCUGACCGCUCCAGAGAUGGAGCUUCCCUUCGGGGCAGCGGUGACAGGUGGUGCAUGGUUGUCGUCAGCUCGUGUCGUGAGAUGUUGGGUUCAGUCCCGCAACGAGCGCAACCCUUAUCGCUAGUUGCCAGCAUUCAGUUGGGCACUCUAGCGAGACAGCCGGUGAAAGCCGGAGGAAGGUGGGGAUGACGUCAAAUCAUCAUGCCCCUUAUGUCCUGGGCUACACACGUGCUACAAUGGCCGGUACAAUGGGUCGCCAACCCGCGAGGGGGAGCUAAUCCCACAAAACCGGUCUCAGUUCGGAUCGCAGG
RNAcentral lists this ribosomal RNA (524 nucleotides) under uncultured bacterium. RNAcentral's name for it is "bacterial SSU rRNA". It matches the Rfam family "Bacterial small subunit ribosomal RNA", at positions 777 to 1304 of the family's 1533-position model. The record is from RNAcentral.